UACGUAGGAGGCAAGCGUUGUCCGGAAUCACUGGGCGUAAAGCGCGUGUAGGUGGAAGAGGAGGUCUGCUGUGAAAGCGCCUGGCUUAACCGGGCGAGGUCGGUGGAAACUCCUCAUCUGGAGGGCGGUAGAGGGGGGUGGAAUUCCGGGUGUAGUGGUGAAAUGCGUAGAGAUCCGGAGGAACACCUGUGGCGAAGGCGGCCCCCUGGGCCGCACCUGACGCUGAGACGCGAAAGCGCGGGGAGCGAACGGG
RNAcentral lists this ribosomal RNA (253 nucleotides) under uncultured bacterium. Its description in RNAcentral is "partial 16S ribosomal RNA". It matches the Rfam family "Bacterial small subunit ribosomal RNA", at positions 524 to 776 of the family's 1533-position model. The record is from RNAcentral.